UUGCAAAGUGACAAAGUCUCCUCUCA
This 26-nucleotide non-coding RNA is filed under the name Rattus norvegicus (Norway rat). The record is from RNAcentral. Lineage: Eukaryota; Metazoa; Chordata; Mammalia; Rodentia; Muridae.